RNAcentral lists this ribosomal RNA (516 nucleotides) under Triticum aestivum (bread wheat). RNAcentral's name for it is "partial small subunit ribosomal RNA". The record is from RNAcentral. Lineage: Eukaryota; Viridiplantae; Streptophyta; Magnoliopsida; Poales; Poaceae.
AUGCUGGACGCCUCCUUCGUCGCCAAGCUCGGUGACUUCGGGCUGGCCAGGCUCGUCAACCAUGGCCGAGGAUCACACACCACGGUGUUCGCUGGCACCAUGGGGUACAUGGACCCGGAAUGCGUGAUCACCGGCAAAACAAACGCCGAGUCAGACGUCUACAGCCUCGGCGUCGUCCUCCUUGAGAUCGCCUGCGGCAGGCGCCCUCUGGUUACAGCUGAGCACGAGGACGACACGAUGCACCUGACUCAGUGGGUCUGGGACUGGUACGGCAGGGGAAGGAUUCUUGACGCUGCCGAUGAGCGGCUACAAGGAGAAUUUGACGGCAAGGAGAUGGAGUGUGUGAUGGUUGUCGGACUCUGGUGCGCUCACCCUGAUCAGAGCCUGAGGCCGACCAUCAGGCAGGCUGUCAACGCACUGCGGUUCGAGUCGCCGCUGCCCAGCCUCCCAUCAAGGAUGCCAGUGGCGACCUUCAUGCCGCAGGUCGGUACUUUCACUUCUACAUCUUCACCGUGA